This 240-nucleotide ribosomal RNA is filed under the name uncultured bacterium. RNAcentral describes it as "partial 16S ribosomal RNA". It matches the Rfam family "Bacterial small subunit ribosomal RNA", at positions 96 to 334 of the family's 1533-position model. The record is from RNAcentral.
UGGCGAACGGGUGAGUAACGCGUGAGGAACCUGCCUCAAAGAGGGGGACAACAGUUGGAAACGACUGCUAAUACCGCAUAAGCCCACGGCCCGGCAUCGGGUAGAGGGAAAAGGAGCAAUCCGCUUUGAGAUGGCCUCGCGUCCGAUUAGCUAGUUGGUGAGGUAACGGCCCACCAAGGCGACGAUCGGUAGCCGGACUGAGAGGUUGAACGGCCACAUUGGGACUGAGACACGGCCCAG